Molecule: ribosomal RNA, 916 nt
Filed under: Escherichia coli
Lineage: Bacteria; Pseudomonadati; Pseudomonadota; Gammaproteobacteria; Enterobacterales; Enterobacteriaceae
Description: partial 23S ribosomal RNA
Rfam family: Bacterial large subunit ribosomal RNA
Source: RNAcentral
GAUGGCCAGGCUGUCUCCACCCGAGACUCAGUGAAAUUGAACUCGCUGUGAAGAUGCAGUGUACCCGCGGCAAGACGGAAAGACCCCGUGAACCUUUACUAUAGCUUGACACUGAACAUUGAGCCUUGAUGUGUAGGAUAGGUGGGAGGCUUUGAAGUGUGGACGCCAGUCUGCAUGGAGCCGGCCUUGAAAUACCACCCUUUAAUGUUUGAUGUUCUAACGUUGACCCGUGAUCCGGGUUGCGGACAGUGUCUGGUGGGUAGUUUGACUGGGGCGGUCUCCUCCUAAAGAGUAACGGAGGAGCACGAAGGUUGGCUAAUCCUGGUCGGACAUCAGGAGGUUAGUGCAAUGGCAUAAGCCAGCUUGACUGCGAGCGUGACGGCGCGAGCAGGUGCGAAAGCAGGUCAUAGUGAUCCGGUGGUUCUGAAUGGAAGGGCCAUCGCUCAACGGAUAAAAGGUACUCCGGGGAUAACAGGCUGAUACCGCCCAAGAGUUCAUAUCGACGGCGGUGUUUGGCACCUCGAUGUCGGCUCAUCACAUCCUGGGGCUGAAGUAGGUCCCAAGGGUAUGGCUGUUCGCCAUUUAAAGUGGUACGCGAGCUGGGUUUAGAACGUCGUGAGACAGUUCGGUCCCUAUCUGCCGUGGGCGCUGGAGAACUGAGGGGGGCUGCUCCUAGUACGAGAGGACCGGAGUGGACGCAUCACUGGUGUUCGGGUUGUCAUGCCAAUGGCACUGCCCGGUAGCUAAAUGCGGAAGAGAUAAGUGCUGAAAGCAUCUAAGCACGAAACUUGCCCCGAGAUGAGUUCUCCCUGACUCCUUGAGAGUCCUGAAGGAACGUUGAAGACGACGACGUUGAUAGGCCGGGUGUGUAAGCGCAGCGAUGCGUUGAGCUAACCGGUACUAAUGAACCGUGAGG